RNAcentral lists this ribosomal RNA (402 nucleotides) under uncultured bacterium. Its description in RNAcentral is "bacterial SSU rRNA". It matches the Rfam family "Bacterial small subunit ribosomal RNA", at positions 356 to 773 of the family's 1533-position model. The record is from RNAcentral.
GGGGAAUAUUGCACAAUGGGGGAAACCCUGAUGCAGCGACGCCGCGUGAGUGAAGAAGUAUUUCGGUAUGUAAAGCUCUAUCAGCAGGGACGAAUAAAUGACGGUACCUGACUAAGAAGCCCCGGCUAACUACGUGCCAGCAGCCGCGGUAAUACGUAGGGGGCAAGCGUUAUCCGGAUUUACUGGGUGUAAAGGGAGCGUAGACGGUGAUGUAAGUCAGAUGUGAAAGCCCGGGGCUCAACCCCGGGACUGCAUUUGAAACUAUGUUGCUAGAGUGCAGGAGAGGUAAGUGGAAUUCCUAGUGUAGCGGUGAAAUGCGUAGAUAUCAGGAGGAACACCAGUGGCGAAGGCGGCUUACUGGACUGUAACUGACGCUGAGGCACGAAAGCAUGGGUAGCAAAC